RNAcentral lists this long non-coding RNA (1187 nucleotides) under Elaeis guineensis (African oil palm). RNAcentral's name for it is "long non-coding RNA (EGUI_LNC007743)". Lineage: Eukaryota; Viridiplantae; Streptophyta; Magnoliopsida; Arecales; Arecaceae. The record is from RNAcentral.
CCAUAUUUUAACAAAGAUCCUCCAUUCAUCCAAAAGAUUAUGAACGAAUCGUUACCGCCCCGAUUCAAAACACCAUAGUUGGAACCAUACGAUGGAACUACCAAUCCAGUGGACCACUUAGAAAAUUUUAAAUCUCUCAUGCUCCUGCAAAGAGUAACUGAUGCACCCCUCUAUCGAGUUUUUCCUUCGACCUUGAGGAAGGUUAUCUGCCAAUGGUAUUCAAGCCUGCAACCAAAUACCGUAGACUCUUUUUACCAGCUUAGUCGAAUGUUCAUCGCACACUUCGUCAGCAGUCGCUGGUAGCGUCGCAACUCAGAUUUUCUCGUCAGUAUAAAAUAAUGGGAGAAUGAGCCACUCCGAGACUAUAUCAACUGCUUCAAUACUAUGACCUUGGAAGUGCGGAACUUGGACCAAUCCGUAGCAAUGACCUUACUAAAGGCCGAACUUCUCUAAAAUGACCUCUUCUUGCUCAACAAAAAAUAUCCGAAGUACUUUGUCAAAAUGUUGGAGCGGGUGGAGAGGUAUGCUCAAGCAGAGGAAGUCUAAGACCAACAAGGGGAGAACCUAGGUAGCAGAUCGCAGCCGAACACUAAACAAAGUAAGAAAAAAGAUUCUUCUUGCUCAACAAAAAAUAUCCGAAAGACUUUGUCAAAAUGUUGGAGCGGGUGGAGAGGUAUGCUCAAGCAGAGAAAGUCUAUGACCAACAAGGGGAGAACCUAGGUAGCAGAUCGCAGCCGAACACUGAACAAAGUAAGAAAAAAGAUUAUCGAUGAGUGCAAUAUCGAUGCGUCAAGCAAAGGCUUUGUCACUCUCGGACUCCACCUUGGGGAAAUCGAGCUAGAUCUCUCGCGAGGCAAUAUCGAUCUAGAAUCCCUCCAUAGAAAUUUCACUAUUUCACUCCAUUGAACACCUCUUGAGCCCAGAUACUAAUGGAGAUAGAAUGCCAAGAAGAGCUCCCCUGACCAAGGAUGUCUACUCCAUUGUGAGCAAGGAAUCCGAGAAAAUAUUGCAGGUACCAUCGAGAUCAUGAGCACAAUAUGGAGGAAUGUUGGUAGCUCAAAGAAGAGAUAGAAGCACUUAUCCAACAAAGAUGUCUUCGGUGCUAUAUUGAUGAACGGUGAAUCUAGGAGAACCCGCGGGAUGAUCUUUCAUGACAAGAAAAUCUCCAUAAAAAUCAACCAAUAGCG